UCCCUCUUAGCUCAGUCAGCAGAGAAUCUGUCUGCAAUGCAGGAGACCUGGGUUUGAUUCCUGGAUCAGGAA
This 72-nucleotide transfer RNA is filed under the name Capra hircus (goat). It matches the Rfam family "tRNA". From Rfam's summary of the family: Transfer RNA (tRNA) molecules are approximately 80 nucleotides in length. Their secondary structure includes four short double-helical elements and three loops (D, anti-codon, and T loops). Further hydrogen bonds mediate the characteristic L-shaped molecular structure. tRNAs have two regions of fundamental functional importance: the anti-codon, which is responsible for specific mRNA codon recognition, and the 3' end, to which the tRNAs corresponding amino acid is attached (by aminoacyl-tRNA synthetases). tRNAs cope with the degeneracy of the genetic code in two manners: having more than one tRNA (with a specific anti-codon) for a particular amino acid; and 'wobble' base-pairing, i.e. permitting non-standard base-pairing at the 3rd anti-codon position. The record is from Rfam by way of RNAcentral. Lineage: Eukaryota; Metazoa; Chordata; Mammalia; Artiodactyla; Bovidae. RNAcentral also lists the same sequence under 1 other name.